This is a long non-coding RNA of Musa acuminata AAA Group (dessert banana), 1307 nucleotides long. RefSeq lists it as uncharacterized. The transcript has 2 exons. NCBI's taxonomy places the organism in Eukaryota, Viridiplantae, Streptophyta, Magnoliopsida, Zingiberales, Musaceae. The record is from RefSeq and is a predicted model, not a curated record.
GCAACCGUUCUGUUGUUCUCCUCAACUGCCGUCCUCUCCACCGCCCCUGAUCUCUCACGAUGGGGUAGUAGCAUCGCCGUCUUCCUCGUGCCUCAUGGCCUCCGUCUCGAUCCGGUGUUGUGCUAUCCGGGAACCCUAUCCCAUCCGAGGAGAAGGCCCUCGAGCAAGAGCGUGAGAUCCUCCCUUGCUGCGCUGCCGCCUCGCGGCUCUUCCCCCAGCCCUUGACCGUCGGUGCCCCUCUGUCUGUUCGGCCCCUCCAUCAAGGGUCAAGAAUCCUUCCAACGUCCUCCUCCUCCCGCCGCCGCCUCCCCUGGCGCUUUUGUUCAGCGGCGCCGCCUCCGAAUCCGCUGUAGAUCGCGAAGGGGGUCACGGAAAUCCUCUUGAUCGCCCACGUGAGUGCGCCGUUCGUCUCCGUCCGGAACUGGUCGGUGGCCGGCAGUUGCCGCAGGCCGGCGCGUUGGCCGUCUUCCUAAAGUCGGCGUGAGGUUCGAUAAGGUCUACAGCUCUCCCGCCCUUGGAUUGGGCGAGGGCCACUGCGGCCUCUUGCCAGAAGUUUCAGGAGAAUCUCUUAGGUAGCUGGUGCUUCGGAUCACUGAAUUUCUGAACAGGACAGUCCUAUGAUUGCCUGAAAAGCUGGCAGUUGCUAAUACAUCAAUCGAUCAAAAUGAGCCGAAAGAGCUCUCACGUAACAGACGAGCUAAUUCCCUUGAGGAUCUUCUUUACACCCUUGAUCGACCAGCUCUCCAGAGGUAAAGAUCUGGUAAUAGCAAACUUCGGUUUGUAAGUCGUAAUGACAACAAGAUUCACAAAGAGUUCUCGGACAGAGAAGUAACUCGAUGAAACCUCCUCCUGGGUGGCAGUGGAAACCUCAACUUUUCCAUUGGGAUGUUCGUUCAUGCAAUUCCAAUUAAACGUCUUCUCACCGGCCCAGCUGGCUUAAUGCAGUCCCGGUUUGAUGAUUCACAAAGAAAAGGAUGGCAGAUAAGGACCUCAACGAUACAGCACAUUUCAAGCUUCUUUAGACCAUGACAAAGGAUGUUGUACCAGAACUAUAUUCUUGCCUAGGUUAUGCCUUGUGUUAUGAAUGGAGAAAGUUCCAUGACUCACUCGGUUCUCGAAUUAUUUGGUCGUGUGAGAUGAUUUCCCUGAUGUGAAGCACGACAAGAAUACUCGUAUGUAUGUAUGUAUGUAUUCAACUUUGUGUUCCAUCACUAGCUUUUAAGUACACAGGACCGGGGAGAGGAUGAUGACCUUUGAAUCCUUUAUAUCAUCAAUCAAUUGGAGGUGCAAUUUGCGUGUUCUUUGUA